Long non-coding RNA from Actinia tenebrosa (Australian red waratah sea anemone), 331 nucleotides. The record is from RefSeq and is a predicted model, not a curated record. Lineage: Eukaryota; Metazoa; Cnidaria; Anthozoa; Actiniaria; Actiniidae.
GGAUUGAGGAUAAAAAAAGAAAGAGAAAAGAAAAAAAAGAAAAGAAAAAUGACAACAACGAAAACGACAAGAAACGAAGAAAAAAUUCUCUAGAAACUUGAUUCGGGAAGCCAGUACGCAAGUCAUUGAUCAAAUCCGUUACCACUCGGGCAUGCAGUGUGCUGGCCGGUACGUGUUCAUUCCUUCAGUUACUUUAUUCGCCAGAUGUUUAGAUCUAAUUGAGGGCAUGGUCAACAGGGCAAGAGUCCCAUGUAAAGACCAACCUAAAUAAGUAAGUAAUGAAUGUUUGUACUCUCGGACUCAAGAAUCCUAUUUGUCAUUUUCCAUGGGC